CCAACAAAUAGUGCAGCAUUUAGUAGGCAUAUGGGCAAGAAGGUUCAGCUGCACUGUGGCUAUAAAAAAGUAUUCCUGAAGCAAACUGGAUAAGUACUUUAAAGCAAUGGAGGAAAAGGAGGAGAAGAUCUUGACAUUUCUUCAGUGAUCUCGGAUGAAGAAGAUACUUAGAUAUUAAGAGAUUCUAAGUUAAGAGACAUAAACCAGAUUUCAGCAGGCUGUAACUCUUCAAACAAGUCACAGAGCACGACCCUGAAUGGAUUAUUGCAUCUUGCACUGAAUGAAGCAUAUGGAGAGGAGGUGAGGCUGUUACUCUGUAUUGACUGAUGGAUUUUUCUUACAAUAUUUGCUUCACUGUAGAUGUUGAUGUCAAAUAGUGAAUCUGCCUUUCCUAAAGCACUGGUGUUGCUAUUUGCAUUACUUAGUUCCUACCUAAACUUUG
Gallus gallus (chicken) is the source of this 442-nucleotide long non-coding RNA. Lineage: Eukaryota; Metazoa; Chordata; Aves; Galliformes; Phasianidae. The record is from Ensembl.